This 1417-nucleotide long non-coding RNA is filed under the name Rosa chinensis. RNAcentral describes it as "sRNA RchiOBHm_Chr2g0174591". Lineage: Eukaryota; Viridiplantae; Streptophyta; Magnoliopsida; Rosales; Rosaceae. The record is from RNAcentral.
UCUCUUUUCUCGUUCUAUCUUUCUUCCUUUCUAUCAUGGAACAUAAUGGACAACGAGCAUCUUGGAGGCGCAGUUCGUGAUGGCGAAGACGUCAAGGUGUCGGAUCUUGUCAGCGACGGCUACUCCAUUGCCCAGAAUAUAACCUGAGCCCUUUGUCAAAUUGAAUUACUGCAAACUUUUCUUGAUCUCCGCAUAUGGCGACACCUAAAUCAUAGGUUUCGGUUGCUCAUUUGUUCCAUUCGUACCUGCUGCUUGCAUUCUCAUAAAUACCCACCUACUUAGUGAUCUUGGGUGAGUUUCUUCACUAGCAUACAUAUAGAUAUCUAAAAGCAUAUGCAAACACAGAAUGUGGAAGCCUGCAAAACUAGAGGAAAUUGCUAUUGCUGUUUCUACCCUGAAUAGCCAGUUGAAGAAAUUCUUAAUCCAUAUGCGAUAUUCCCUCAACCAGAGGAAAACUUUAAGGUAAUACCAAUCACUUUUUCUUUUGUUGUUCUUUUGUUACAAUGUACUCCAAUUACUUCAGAAAGCUAUUAGGUGGACAGAAAACUAAAAAAAAAAAAAAAUUUGCUACAUGUAAUUUCAAAAAUAGUGAUUGUAUUUUUGCAUAUCAGUGUUGCCUUUGCAUAUCAGUGGGGUGUUUAAUGAUAUAAUAAUGCAUAUGGAGUUAUGCGGUUACUUCCAAGGAUAAUUCUCCAUUGCAUUCAAUAUCUUAAUUUAUACCAUUGUACCUGUUAAGCUGCACAUGCUUUCAGGAUUGUUUUCUUUACUUUCAUAGUUGGUCACAGAGGUGCUGAGUUUAAUUACAGUUCAGAUUGCUUAGUUUAAACCAACUAAGCUUCGGGAUGCCGAUUUAUUGUCUCAUACUAUGAUAUCACAUUGCCAAGUUCUUUGCCACACUUCCAGUAUCUUAUUUAUGCACUCUGGGACGCUUUUUGACAAAAGAUGUGAUAGCAGAUGACCUAUAAUUUAUUAUAACUUGGCAACAUACUCCUUCACUUAUCUAUGAAGAUGCUACCUCUGUUGAUGCAUGAGACUGUUGUUUGUGUGACAUCUUUUUGUUGAUGAUGCACAACAUUUUGGUCAAUUUUGUUCUUUGACAUGGAUACGACUGAUUGUGGUGUGCUUUUGAUUGUAGGCAGGGUCUGACUUGGGCCCAACUGAUGCAUUUGGUAGAGCAAGAGAAAAUACUAUGUGGGGCGUCUCUCUUAUGAUCGGUUACCUUGGGUAUAUUCUGGACAUUUCCUUUAUGGUUAUGCUUUUUUGUAUUUUUUUUGUCAUUAGCUGUUGAAAUAAACGUUAAAUGGCCUUCAAUUAAAACAUAUGAAUUUAUUCUACUUACAUAUCCAGUUAUUGUAAUAAGUUAUUACUUUUGUUUCUACGCAUGCUAUUGAAAGUAGUUCCUCCUUUUUUGAUACUC